UGUUGGGUUCGAAUCAAUUAUAUUAGGAGAAUUACACUUGUUGCGACUUUUUCGAAUAAGUAGACUAAGUACUUGAGUAGAAGAAUUGAUAUUUUAGCCUAUGAUCAUGAUUACAAUUGGAUGGAAUUACCACUCUUGAAUUGGAAAUUUGUUAAGAUUGAUUUUUAUUUACUUUAAUAUUCAGCCUUCAUUAUUUUCUGCUUAUUUAUAAUUUUGAUUCAAACAUUCAAAACCCCCCUUUUAUUUUACUUUGAGAAACUAUUCACAUUGGUUCUCUUGGGAUUCGACCUGGUUUCACUUUUUCUACAAAUUAGUUUAAGAAAAUCAGUAAUUUAUUUUGAAGGGCUUCGACAACCCGUUCAUAUGCACUAAAGAAAAUUAAAUGAAAAGAGCACGCUGCUGUAGGCCUCGGAAACGAUGCACCUUAGGCGCGCGUCGCCCUCUUUUGAGAACCAUCCGUUGGCGGAAGACAUUGUCAGGUGGGGAGUUUGGCUGGGGCGACACAUCUGUUAAAAGAUAACGCAGGUGUCCUAAGAUGAGAUCAACGAGAACAAUGAUCUCGUGUGGAACAAAAGGGUAAAAGCUCAUUUGAUUCUGAUUUCCAGUAUAAAUACGAACCAUGAAAGCAUGGGCUAUCGAUCCUUUAGACCUUCAGAAUUUGAAGCUGGAGGUGUCAGAAAAGUUACCACAAGGAUAACUGGCUUGUGGCAGCCAAACGUUCAUAGCGACGUUGCCUUUUUAUCAUUCGAUGUCGGCUCUUCCUAUCAUUGUGAAGCAAAAUUCACCAAUUGUUGGAUUAUUCACCUACCAAUAGGGAAUAUGAACUAGGUAUAGACCGUUGUGAGAUAGGUUAGUUUUACCCUACUGAUGAUUGUGUUGCAAUGGUAAUUUGAUGUAGAUGAUUCUAUGCAUGUUUAUUGACUGUUUAUCAGUCAUUUAUUCACAUAUUUGAGUCAUAUUUAUUCCUAUUUGAUCGCACUUUGGUAUGUCUAUGAGUUUUUUAGGUUUUCGGACUCUUUGAUGAGACAUUGAUUGAUUUACGGGCAGAAACCAAGCUAUUUGGAUGAUUUAUGCAUAUUAGAUGUUUAUUGGAGUCGAUUCCUUAUUGGCGAACAUUUCGAGGCUUUGCACGGGCCAUGCAACGGCUCGUUGCACGGCCUCCCUUGGACAAUUUCGGAAAUUUGGCAUUUCGUGAAGGUUGGGCCCAUUGCCCAGCCCGUUACCCGGGCCGUUGCACGGGCUGUGGCACUUCUGCCUAUAAAUAGAUGCACGUAAAACGAGAUAGGGUUUCGCUUCUGAUUUCUGGACUUCUCUACGCGCGCGACCCCUUACUUCUACACCUCUGUUCUUGACAUUUUGGGAUACCAACAUCAGUUCAAAUGAUUGAUUUGGGAGAUUCAAGCAAAGAUUGAAGUUUCUAGACGAUUGAUCAAGACAUCCGAGAUCCAUACUUGAGGCUAGUUCCAGAGUUGGUGCUUGUGACAUUUCCACUCCGAUUUGAGAGAAGAGGGGUUACAUGUUCCAUUUCCUUUUCUGUUAUUUAUUCCCUUUUGUAUUUUUUUCUUUCAUUAUGAGUAGCUAGGGUUGCCGAACCCAUUGGGGGUCACCUUUGUUGAUGGAUUGUGCUUAAUUAUUAGAUCUUUAUUUGCCAUUCUUGUAAUCUUCUUGCUGUUUAGUAAUAGAGUUUGAUUCAGUUAAUUUAAGACGUUAAAUUAAUUGUCUUUUGGGUUGUUUCUUGACAUUGAGAAAUGCUUGUUACAACUGAAAAUUGAAUAGUAAGAAUUGGUAGUUAACACUUAGAGAUAAGGUUAAUUCACUUGCCGGAUUAAGAAUUAACAACUUUUAAUAGAUCUAAAUCAUGCUUAAUGCUAAUGUGUAAUAGUUUGAUAGGAAGAGAUUCAAUUAGGUUAGUGCAGGUUUAGGAACUUGGUAAGCUCGAGAAAGGAGCCGAGUUCGAUUCAGGAUUUAGGCACGGGUAGCAAGAUUGGUAAUUUAUAAAAUCAACCUUAGAAUUCCAUCACUUAGAUCCCCUUCGGGUCUGUUUCUUUAUUACGGUUGUCUUUCGAUCGUCAGUUGCUGUUUAUUCCUUUAUUUGCAUUCAUAAUCAUUAGUUAAUUAAUUUAGACUUCUCACACCUUAUUUCAGACUAGAUAACAUAUCGAACAAUAGUAACUUUAGGUUCACCCGAUCUCCAGGGAUACGACCUUGAUACUCACUAGUGCUAGGCUGCAUCGAUAGGUUCACUGCCUUAGGUGUAGGUUGCAUAAGUAGCCCAUCAUAAUUCAACCUAGUACGCGAGGAACCGUUGAUUCGCACAAUUAGUCAUCGCGCUUGGUUCAAAAGCCAGUGGCGUGAAGCUACCGUGCGCUGGAUUAUGACUGAACACCUCUAAGUCAGAAUCCGGGCCAGAAGCGACGCAUUGUCCACUGCUCAUUUGCCGACCAGCAGUAGGGGCCCUCCGGCCAACAAAGGCACGUGUUGUUGGCUAAGCCAGCGCGGGGGACGAGCCGCGCAUGCCGCCUUGAAUUACAAUUUCCAUCGAGCGGCGGACUGAAUCCUUUGCAGAUGAUUUAAAAAUGCGACGGGGUAUUGUAAGUGGUAGAGUGGCCUUGCUGCCACGAUCCACUGAGAUUCAACCCAUUGUCGCUCCGAUUCGU
Non-coding RNA from Ricinus communis (castor bean), 2657 nucleotides. The record is from Rfam. NCBI's taxonomy places the organism in Eukaryota, Viridiplantae, Streptophyta, Magnoliopsida, Malpighiales, Euphorbiaceae.